This 419-nucleotide ribosomal RNA is filed under the name uncultured Prevotella sp. RNAcentral describes it as "bacterial SSU rRNA". It matches the Rfam family "Bacterial small subunit ribosomal RNA", at positions 358 to 774 of the family's 1533-position model. The record is from RNAcentral. Lineage: Bacteria; Pseudomonadati; Bacteroidota; Bacteroidia; Bacteroidales; Prevotellaceae.
GGAAUAUUGGUCAAUGGGCGCGAGCCUGAACCAGCCAAGUAGCGUGCAGGACGACGGCCCUAUGGGUUGUAAACUGCUUUUAUGCGGGGAUCAAGUUCACUACGUGUAGUGUUUUGUAGGUACCGCAUGAAUAAGGACCGGCUACUUCCGUGCCAGCAGCCGCGGUAAUACGGAAGGUCCGGGCGUUAUCCGGAUUUAUUGGGUUUAAAGGGAGCGCAGGCUGAAGAUUAAGCGUGACGUGAAAUGUCCCGGCUCAACCGUGGAACUGCGUCGCGAACUGGUUUUCUUGAGUGAGUACGACGUCAGCGGAAUUUGUGGUGUAGCGGUGAAAUGCUUAGAUAUCACGAAGAACCCCGAUUGCGAAGGCAGCUGACGAGUCCUUAACUGAGGCUAAAGCUCGAAAGUGCGGGUAUCGAACA